AGUGAACGCUGGCGGUAGGCCUAACACAUGCAAGUCGAACGGCAGCACAGUAAGAGCUUGCUCUUACGGGUGGCGAGUGGCGGACGGGUGAGGAAUACAUCGGAAUCUACUUUUUCGUGGGGGAUAACGUAGGGAAACUUACGCUAAUACCGCAUACGACCUACGGGUGAAAGCAGGGGAUCUUCGGACCUUGCGCGAUUGAAUGAGCCGAUGUCGGAUUAGCUAGUUGGCGGGGUAAAGGCCCACCAAGGCGACGAUCCGUAGCUGGUCUGAGAGGAUGUUCACCACAACUGGAAUGGGAACGCGGUCCAGACCCCAACGGGAGGGGAGGUGGGGGAAUUUUAGACAAGGGGAGGAAGCCUAACCCAGCCAACCCGCGUGGGGGAAGAAGGCCUGGGGGUUGGAAAGCCCUUUUUUUGGGAAAGAAAAGAAGCAGGUUAAUACCCCGGUGUUUUGAGGGAGCCAAAGAAAAAGGCCCCGGUAAAUUUGGG
This 491-nucleotide ribosomal RNA is filed under the name uncultured bacterium. Its description in RNAcentral is "partial 16S ribosomal RNA". It matches the Rfam family "Bacterial small subunit ribosomal RNA", at positions 29 to 507 of the family's 1533-position model. The record is from RNAcentral.